This 556-nucleotide ribosomal RNA is filed under the name Cenococcum geophilum. Its description in RNAcentral is "eukaryotic LSU rRNA". The stretch from base 201 to 354 matches the Rfam family "5.8S ribosomal RNA". RNAcentral also lists the same sequence under 1 other name. The record is from RNAcentral. Lineage: Eukaryota; Fungi; Ascomycota; Dothideomycetes; Gloniales; Gloniaceae.
CAAGGUUUCCGUAGGUGAACCUGCGGAAGGAUCAUUAUUGAAAUAAACCUGAUAGGUUGUUGCUGGUUCUCUAGGGAGCAUGUGCACACCUUGUCAUCUUUAUAUCUCCACCUGUGCACUUUUUGUAGACCUUUCAGGUCUAUGUUGCUUCAUUUACCCCAAUGUAUGUUAAUAGAAUGUUGUGACUAUAUAAUAUAUACAACUUUCAGCAACGGAUCUCUUGGCUCUCGCAUCGAUGAAGAACGCAGCGAAAUGCGAUAAGUAAUGUGAAUUGCAGAAUUCAGUGAAUCAUCGAAUCUUUGAACGCACCUUGCGCUCCUUGGUAUUCCGAGGAGCAUGCCUGUUUGAGUGUCAUUAAUAUAUCAACCUUCUCUUUUUUGAGUUGUUUGGAUGUGGGGGUUUGCUGGACUCUUUAAUGAAUUCAGCUCCCCUGAAAUGCAUUAGCAGAACAACCUGUUCAUUGGCGUGAUAAUUAUCUAUGCUAUUGAAUGUGAGGGCAGUUCAGCUUUCUAACCGUCCUCGGACAAUUUAUCAUUAAUGUGACCUCAAAUCAGGU